CAGCUGGGGGGCCUCAGGAGCUCGUUGCUCCAGGAAGCUGGGGCUGAGGAUUCCUGGCUGUGGGGGCUCCAUCUGGCCCUCCUGCCUCUGCAUCUCCCAGGACAGGAACCAUCUGGAGGAAGGGCCUGGGUGGCCUAAGACAAGGUAAUUCCAGGCCAAGGCCACCCCGGGCAGAGCCGGGGUUGUGGGGGGAAGCCUUGACUGUCCUUCUCCUCUGUCCAGCGUCAUACCUAGAGGCUCCUGGGAGGUUUCUGUGAGUGGGGCUGGUUGCUGGGGGUGGCUCUGACCCUCCUUGUCCCUCCUAUGCAGCAGCCCCUCCCUGCUUGCCAGGGGCAGAGGCAGGGGCCCAGCUCCCGGCUGAGAAGGGAGUCGGCACAGCCCAGGAUUUGGUGCUAAUCCCGGCAGCCGUGCCAUCCUGGCCCCGCUGAGCCGUGGACUUCUCACCUCCGGGACGCCGCACCCCCCCCCUUGGAGAGAGGGCUGUCCAGGGCGGUGAGGAUUCCUGAGCCUUGCGUGGUCUGUCCCCCAGACAGCUCUCCCUCCAGCCUGCUGCCAUGGGAACUCCUGCUGCCUUUGAUCCACGCGGUGCGAAUGACAGACUGGGAGAAACCCGGACUGUGGCAUGACCUCCCACCUGGGACCCUUGCACUCGGCUGCUGCCUCUCACCUGCUCCACUCAGCCUCCUGAAGUACUCAUGGGUGUGGGUCCGGGAGGUCCGUGCUUCAGGAAUGAAAGCCCCUGGGGGACUGCUGUGUGUCCUGGGCACUGAAGUGGCCACACACCCUGGAUGCUCGGUGCAGCAGACGCUGGCCUUGCCCCCGGCCCACCGGGCCUCGGGGGACAUGAACAUGUCUUGUCUCUGGUGCAGGGUGGUUGUGGUCUGACAGGCCAGUGACAUGUCCCUGCUGAGGGCUGUGGGUCAUGUCACCCAUUUGGAGGUCUUGGGUGCCCCAGCAAUGCCCCAUCACUUCCUGUGGCUGGUCAUGCAAGCUUAGGUAUACAGUCUAUGUUUCCAGCUCCUGACUCUCCACCCCCACUCCAGUUUGAACUGUGUCUGGCAGAUACUGAAGUAGCAGCCCAGCCAUGCCCCUCUCCCCUGGUCUCUCCUCAGUGGCGGCUAUUCCCCUCCACUCCCGGAUCCAAAUCUUCCUAAGGGUGGCAGGAGGUGAGGCCGACGGUGACUCUCACGCCGGCACUCGGCUGCCCCCCUGUGGCCCACGUGAGCAACAGCACCGCUUCAUCCAGCAGGAAUAUUGGGGUCAGACAGGAGUCCAGCCUGAGCCCCGAGGGGGGGGGUUUGAAAUGGAGUGAAUUUUGUCAUCGUGUGCACUUAAUUCUAGAUUGUAAACCUUCCUGAACCUCAAUCUCUUCGUCCAUAAAGUGGAGGCAAUGAUGUCAUUGUAAGGAUCAAAUAGGUAAUGUGCUUGACUGUAGAUAAAAGGCUUCCUACGCUGUAAUUACCACGUGACCUUGUUAUUAUUUUCCCUGACUCUGACCGUCCCCAGAGGAGAGGAGUAGAGCCUCCCACCCUGUUCCUGGGAACUCCUCCUUUGUUCAUCUUUUCUGUGAGUGUUUACUGGGUGACUGCUGUGUGCCAGGCGUGCUCUGGGAGCUGGGCAUGAGGAGGUGACUGAGACAGAGUCCCUGCCCCCGGGAGCUCACAGUCUAGGGAAGAGCUGCUCAGAACACUGAGUUGAAGUCGACAGUUGGAGGAGCCCAGCAUCGAUGGAGCCAAGUGCAGAGGGGGACGGGCUAGUAGAGGAGGCGGCGUCUGAGUGGGAGAAGGACAUUCUGG
RNAcentral lists this long non-coding RNA (1796 nucleotides) under Equus asinus (donkey). RNAcentral describes it as "lncRNA (ENSEASG00005038745.1)". Lineage: Eukaryota; Metazoa; Chordata; Mammalia; Perissodactyla; Equidae. The record is from RNAcentral.